UCAUCCACACGCCGCUCCACCGCUCUACAUAUACUUAUAAAAGGCUCCAUCUCCGCCUCGCUUUCUCCCCUACCCGAAAAUUGCUUCACGGCAACCCUCCUUUCCAUGGUGCAUCAGUGCCUUGUUGCUGUAUGAUUAAUUGGCUGUCGAUGUCGCGGUCGCUUUGAGAUGGAUGCUGCGCCGUGCUGGACGCCUGCGGGGGUGAGCCGCUGCCAGGCCGAAUGCCAUCGACGUCGUGCCGCUGGAGGGCAUCGUGGCUGCGCUCGCCUGCAGGGCCACAGGUAGCCAGGCCAGACGGCGCCGCUGUGUUGGUAUGCAGCAGCGGCACCGUGCUGUCUGCCUAGGUAUUCGUUCUCUUCCUCCAUCAUUUAUGCCUUGCUCUACUCUUAGGUAGGUCUGUAUUAGGCAGUGUUUCUUCUAUGAAGAACUGUGUACUGGUGAUAAUAGUGUGAGACUGUUAUUUACCCGUUACUUUUUUUGUGCGCUGGUUGGUGUGUGUGCGAUCUUAAGUGCAGAGCGUUUGUCAUUCACUGUAAAAAAAAUUGGGUGCAUUUAGAGUGUCUGAGUUUCUUUUAGGUUCUGCUCAUUUCUUUCCUAGAUAAUAAUGAUAACUAGAUGACUCUGCUACAUUCAUACUCGAUUUUCUGGCUAGGUGUUGUCUUCCUCGACUUCCGUCGCUCCGGGUCUGCAUCUAGCGCCGCGUUUUCGACCUCUCCGACUAAGCCACACGGUUGCCACCCACAUGCACCGCUCAGGCACUCCCAGUCCAGCCUCGGUGGUUAACCGGCUGCUCUGCGGUUCCCCCAUUGAGGGAGGGGGUUAACUUUGUUUGAUUCUAUUUUCUCUGGUUCACCCUCACGGCUGCGCUUCUUUCUCUGUCGCGGCAAGAGUCGCCGUUCAGGGACGUUACAUGGAUCUGGGUGCCAGAGCAGGUCGGGGCAUGGAGGCCUGUGAUCAAUAAUGCUAAACAUAGGAAGGUUUACAUGCUUUUACACGCUGACUAUGGUUUUUUUAAACAAACUAACCUCCUGAUUUUCAUGGGGUGGGGCCCCUUCUCCCGUUUAAUCUUCAAUCAAAACCCACCUUUAUGUAAAAACAUAUAGCCUUUCGUAUAUGUAGCAUUACCCGGCCUGUGAUGGACAUCGUGCAUGCAAAGGGCGGGCAGCAGCCAGUAGGUUAGCCCGCUUCGACGGCUGACAUCGACGAGGAGGCAGGGCUCCGAGGAGAUGUCCAACGUCAUUGACAGGUUCGGACGUGCCGACUAGAGCGUCGUCGAAGCCCGUACGUGCAAGCACGUGCGCACGAAAAUGCUGCUUCGGUCAGUAUUCUGGCCUUUGCUGCACUCACGCCUUGCCAUGGCAGUCCUUGACGGUGUGAAGAUUCUUGGUGCCAAAGGCUACUUCCUGGAUGAUGAACACGAUCGCAAAGAAGCCAGGCGGCCGGUGGAGGUUCGCAGGUGAUGGAUGCCGGCUGGUGCAUGCGUCCAGGACGUGGUCACCAGGUGGGCAUGCGGCUGCAGCAGUAUAGUUCACGACUGAGCCCUCCAAAUGAGCACGCGCUGGUGCUACGCGUCGUGAGCCUUCUCAACGGCCACGGCGUGAUCUUUUUUUUUUUUUUGAGGGGAAAGAUCGCCGCUUUAUUAACUAAGUGUAGCUCGGAAUGUCAUCCGAAAUUACAUCCAAGAUGCAGUCUGGGGGAACCCCCAACCAAACCUUACACAAUUCAUCCCCUACCCCUACUCUUGCUAAUUUAUGCGCGGCAACAUUACCCGUGCGUCUAACCCACGUCACUUUGUACUGAUCCUUCGUCUCCAGCAUGUGUUUGAUUUCCUGAAUCCAUGGUCCCAGUCCCGAAUAAUUGAUGCCCUUCUGGUUGAUCAUUUGCACCACCGGCAAACAAUCCAGCUCCAAAUGGACGUUCUGUACAUUGAUCUCCUCUGCAACCUGCAGCGCUCUUCUACACGCCAAAAUCUCCGCUGCUUCAGGCUCCAGAAUGUGUGGAAAAAGAUGGCACACUCCGGCCAGAAAUGCCCCAUUAUGGUCCCGAAGCACAGCUCCACCGCCAACCUUACUCCCUCCUUUAUGCACUGCACCAUCUGAAUUAAUCUUCACCCAUCCAACUUCAGGUGCUUCCAAGGUUUUGGUUACCGAAUGAGGUAAUUUUACCGAGGGGGACUGAUAAAUGUGGUUACCACGGUUACCGAGAAAUAUUUCGAGCGAAUUUUAUAGUUGAAUUUUGAAUUCAAAUAAGAAAAUGAACGAAUAUUCAAACCAGAGACCUCUCAAAACAGGAACUAGGUUGCUACCAACAUGCCAUAACCAAUUUUCAUUGCAUUAAUUAGACCCUACAUACCUUACUGUAAAUCGAGUGUUUAAAUUCAAAAAUUUCAAAAAAAUGGUAUUUUUUGCUCGGUAUGACGAUUUACCGAGGGGCACGAAAAUACGUGGUAACCAUGGGAAAUCUUGAAAUUUCGACUGGUAACCAAAACCUUGGGUGCUUCCCACUUUUGUGGCAGAUCCGUCCUUUCUGGCCUCUCCCUGAUUUGAUGCACGCUGUUCCAUUCCGCCAUGUGAGAGCAAACUGACUCCAUUAUUUCAUGUGGUUGAUCAAUCCUCUUCCCAUCUCUUGCUGCAUUCCUAGCGAGCCAUAGUCCAUAAGUGGCCUGAAUCAUUGCCUCCCGCUCGUCCCCGUCAGCAGCAGCAAACCAUUCAACGAGCCAGCGAGAUAGCUCACCAUGAUUGUCCGACGGAGCCGGUGGAAUUGCCACAGAGACGCCCUUCUCCUCCCGCAGCAACUUCUAGAAGUGGACAGAGUGUGGACACGCCCAAAAAUGGUGGUAUAUGGUUUCCUCUCGACCAGAUGCCACGCAAAAAACUCCUGGUUCAAUUCUUCUGCGAUGAAGCUCGACGCCAGCCGCCAGUCCGUUCUUAAUCAUACGCCACAUAUGGAUUUUUGCCUUCUGCGGUGCCCUCGUUUCCCACAAGGCCAUAUUGCCUUUGUGCCUUUGGACUGAGCUCGAGCCCUCUUGCUGGCCCCUCAUGGCUCUCCUCCUUGACACCCAAAGAUGGUAGGCAGAUUUGACGCUGAAAAUCCCAUUCUUAGUGUAAUUCCAUGCUAGGUAGUCCUCCGUUCCCGGGCCUCCAACUGCAAUUUGCUGGAUAUCGACACGGUCAGAAUCCGAGAACAUUGCUUCAAGUUUUCCUACAUCCCAGCACGUUCCAUCCUGAGUCAGGAGAUCUGAAACCCUCGUGAUCCCCUGUAUGUACCGUUGACCCAGUGUCCUUAGGUACCCUUGACUCGGUAUCCAGUUGUCAUGGUGAAUAUUCACUCGUGAGCCGUCGCCCACCCUCCACACAAGGCCUUCUCUCAACAGGUCUCGACCAUGUAAAAUGCUACGGUACGUGAAAGACGAGUUUGACGGAAUUGUAGCUGACAUAAUUGAUUCUUCUUUGAAGUACCUUGCCUUGAGCACCCUAGCACACAAAGAAGAUGGAGUAGUCAGGAUCCGCCAUGCUUGUUUCGCCAAGAGAGCUUGGUUGAAACCUUCAUGAUUACGAAAACCAAGUCCUCCGUCUCCCAUAGAUGCACACAUCUUUUCCCAGGAGAUCCAAUGAAGCUUCUUUUCACCAUCAAUUGCACCCCACCAGAAUUUCGAAGAGAUAGAAGUUAGAUUCCUGUAUAUCUUCUUUGUGAGGUGAAAACAACUCAUAGUGAAAGUCGGGAUUGAUUGUAGUCCUGAUUUAACUAGCACUUCCUUCGUCGCCUUCGAUAAACCUUGGCCUUUCCAACCUGUCACCUUUCCCUUUGAACUUUCUGUUAGAUAUUUGAACGUACCAUCUUUAGACUUACCAACCAGUGUUGGUAGUCCAAGGUAAUGCUCACUCAACGCUUCAGACUCGAUCCCAAUGGAUUGCUUAGGUCAGAUUUAGUCUCAUCGUUACAUCCUUUCCCAAAAAAUAUAGAGGACUUCUGCAAAUUCACCUUCUGUCCGGAGGCCUCCUCAUAGACCGCCAAAAUAUUUUUAAGAACCGUCAUGCUUUCCGUUGUUCCUUUCAGAAAUACAAUGCUAUCAUCUGCAAACAGUAGAUGUGUGACAUGGGGGCCAGUGCUCCCAAAAGCCACUCAUUUUAAAGCGUUGUCUUGCUGAGCUUUCCUCAAUAAGGCCGAGAACCCUUCAACACAAAAGAGGAAUAAAUACGGCGACAAUGGAUCCCCUUGCCUAUGUCCCCGGGCAGGUGUGAACUCCCUCGAAUAGCCUCCAUUUAGCUUAACUAAGAACCUGGUGGACUUAAUGCAUCUCAUAAUCAUGGCUAUCCAUAAAGGGUCAAAACCGAAUCGAGCUAGAGUCUGUUCCAAAAAAGCUCACUCGACUCUAUCAUACGCCUUCAUCAUAUCCAGCUUCACCGCACAUAAGCAUUUCUUCCUUCUUCUCGUUCGGAUGGCGUGAACACAUUCAUAUGUAACCAAGACAUUAUCCGUGAUAAGUCGACCAGGAACAAAAGCACUUUGCUCCUCCGAGAUGAGAAUUGGAAGAAUGACUUUCAAUCUAUUAGCCAGUACCUUAGUUGCAAUCUUGUACAGCACGUUGCAAAGGCUUAUCGGUCUAAACUGAGAAAGUAACUCCGGUGAGUUCACCUUCGGGAUCAUGACCAAAACCGUAUCAUUAACGUUUCCGGGGUGGCUGCACCGUUCAGAAAAUCUCGCACCGCUGCGCAAACCUCAUUUCUAACUAGCGACCAGUGUCGCUGGUAGAAAAGUGCUGGCAGCCCAUCCGGACCUGGUGACUUAGUAGGGCCCAUCUAGAAUAGGGUUGCCUUUAUCUCGUCGUCGGAGAACGGCCUCGUCAACUUGGCAUUCAUGUCCUCCGUCAACACAUGUGCAACAUUCUGCAAUAAGCUAUUGGCACCACGUGACCCUUCUGAUGUGAACAAAGACUCAUAGAAACUAGCUGCCAUCUCCCGCAUAUCAUCAUCAGUCGUGCAACGUGACCCAUCUGCUCGUAACAAAGCCUUGACCGUGUUCUUCCUCUUCCUGUGAGUGGCUCGGUUUUGGAAGUAUUUCGUGUUCUGAUCUCUGGCCAUUAACCAAUCUACUCUGGAUUGUUGUUUGUAUAGCAACUCUUUCCGCUCGAACAUCUCACGUAGUUGUUCCUCCAAAUCCCGUAGCUCUCCUUGGCAACCUGAUGACAGUGCUCGAGUCUUAGCUGCCGCAUGUUGUGUUUUGAGAUUAGCAAUCUUGCGCCUCACAGACCCGAACACCUCUCUAGCCCAUCGUCGCAUGCUUCCCGUCAGCGUGCCAAUUUUGUCCCAUACCGCCGUCAGAGUCAGAUCUCCGUUUCCCGCCGCGUCCCAUGCUUCAGCGACCAUAUUGUCAUAUAGCUCGUGUCUCGUCCAAGCUUCCUCAAAAUGGAAUGGUCAGUCGCCUCCUCUAGCGGAGCGCGGAGCCGUCUCCAACGCUCUCACUAGGAUAGCCUGAUGAUCUGAUUCCUCGGUCAUAAUGUGUUCCACUAUAGGCUCCGGGUACAUCUGCAGGAAGCCAUCAUUGCAUGUGGCUCUAUCCAGGCGAACUUGGAUGUUUUCAAAACCAUCCCUCUUAUUAUCCCACUUGUAGGGAUAUCCAGAGAAGCCCAAAUCCGCCAGGCCGCAGUCGGCCAAGCAGUCCCUAAAAUCCUCCAUGCGUGUAAAACUCCUCAUAUUGCCCCCAGUUUGGUCUGUUUGGAAUAAUGCCUCAUUGAAGUCGCCCAAACUAACCCACGGGAGGUCAUUUUGCCUCCGUAAGAACCUGAUUGCAUCCCAUGAUUUCUUCCUCAUCUCCGUGUUCGGCUCCCCAUAGAAUCCAGUGACUCUUGAGGUUUUGCAAUCACAACUGAUCUCAGCAUCAAUAAAAUACUGGCACCAUGGUUUAACUAUGACUUGAAUAUCAUCUCGCUACCAGAGAGCCAGACCCCCACUCCUGCCCACACAAUCCACCGCCACACCAUUCUUGAACCCCAAACUCCAUUUAAGCCUAUCCAUUGCUCUUGCUUUUUUCUUUGUUUCACACAAGAAAACCACUGCUGGGUUGUGACACCUCACAAGGUCGCGUAGUUCGCCCACUGUCGAGUCCAACCCCAAGCCCCGACAGUUCCAGGCAAGCAGAUUCAUUGCUCCCGGCGGCCCCGGAGUUCGGGGUCCGCCGCUUCAUCAUGAGUCUCUGAGAUUCGAUCAAACACAGAAGCUCUCUUCUGCCUCGUAUCGCGAAUGAACUGAUCAGCCGGAACCUGCCUGUCAAUAUCGCCUUUAGGCACCCACAGCUGUCUGGGCCUUCUCUUCUUGUUUUCAUUUACUUCAUUGUCAUAAUGCUCCUGACGUGGCCCAUACACUGAAUUUUGCCUAGGCUUUUUCACGUACCUCCCCCUUUGUCUCCCAUGCAAGCCAUGCAUAUAGGGUUCCCCCAGUGGGUUGCCCCAGCCCGACCCGCUAUUCUGCCACCCAGCAGAAGAGGACUGAGCAGAGUCCUUUUCUCUUCUGUACCUCGCAUCUUCCUGAAGUUUUCCCCCGUGACGCCUCUCAUUCUGCUCCAUUAAUUUGUAACGGGGAUCUUUUUCCCUCCGUGCCUCCAAGCUCUCCCUUAAGUCUUUAUCCUUUGGGGUUGCAUUCUUUAACUUGCUCUUAUCAGGGCUGCAGACCUCAUUUGUCUCCUGCCUGUUCCGAUCGCCACUGCGUUCGUUGGCUGAACGGGAGAAGUCGGGAUUCAGGUUCCUCUUUGUGUGUACCCCUCUCGCCUUGGGAUGUUCAGUAUGCUUCGCAGGCACCUCCCCAUUAAAAGAGCCGCUCCUACUCUGAUUACUGCUUGUUGCACCACUUGCUGCCCCCCCUGUGUUGUUUCUUCCCGGGGACGCUCUAAGCCACCCCCCCCCCCAUUGUGAAGAUGAGUCAGAUGGUGGUACACAAAUCCCCCCUGCGUGAACCAGACGCCCGCAGUCGAAGCAAAAAUGAGGUACCUUCUCAUAAUGGAAAUCAAACCAAGUUUUCUCCUCAUCCUCUUCCGAUUUCUUCAGAAAAAAACCGCGGACUAGAGGCUCGAACACAGAUAUUUUAGCUCUCACCCUAAGUUGGCUUCCUCUUGCAAAACCUUCCUUGUCAACAUCCACUCUGACAAACUCUCCCAGCCAGUUACCCAAAGCCCUCCCAAACGUCUCCGUUCUUUUGUCUGGUGGAAGAUCAUUCACUCUAACCCAGAUGUGCACCUUGUCAAAAACCAUCUCAGAGGGUCAUUUGUCUCCCUCAUAAUCCUUCAUAACCAGCACUGCGAAAUCAAACUGCCAGGGGCCAUUGUUGAGCACAUGCUUCCAGUCGCCCUCGCUGCCAAAGUGCACCAUGAUGGUAUUGGGGCCGAUCUCAUUGAAUUUAGCCUCAUGGUGCAGUCCCCAAGCUCUAGGCAUCGUUUUCUCCAGCACUGACUUCUUCAUCGGUCUCGGUGAGCACACCCUUCCCACAGCUGACCACUUCCUGUACUUGUGGACUAUCGGAUCUGGAUCUUCAAAGACGAAACCUUCAACUUCCUUGUCCAUCAAAACCAUGCCUCCCAAACGCGCCGAGAGGCUCGCAGCCGGGUCCGGGGUUUUGCUCUCAACCGGAGAACGUGAGGAUUCUCCGCUAGCAGACCCAGCCGCCUUCCGUGCCGGCGUCGCCACCGAUAGAUGGGAUUGUUGUAGUUUUCCCCGGGGUCGCCGCCGCCUUCCCCUCUUUCUUCCCAUCUACCGUCCCCGCCAUUAGCAACGCCCCUUGACGCGAACGCAGACUAACCGGCCGAAGACCAGGGUGAGCGCCGUCGCUCCCUAGAGAUCGCCGGAAUACACCACCCCCGUCGGUCGGAACCCUAACCCUAGCGUGGAGAUGCAAUCGCCAGGCAAUCGCCCUCCGCCGCCUUAGCGUCCCUAAAAAACGUGGUGGACCCCGCCCCCACGUGUCCCAGGCCAAAAUACAACUACGGCGUGAUCUAUUUUAGUUUGCCUAACUUUAUUGUAAUGGGGAUGAAUCUAUUUUAUAAUGGGGUGCAUAAGCUACAUCUUUGCCCUACUAAAUAUGUUAUGUAUUUCAUGAUAUAUAUGGAAAUGAGGCCGGUAACUACGCUCCCUAAAUUGAAGGCACGCCAGCCAGGGAAAGUGCGUCAAAUCCUAAAGACUAGGAUAAGAAGAGGACGUGUACAGCUAUAUACGGUUUAACAAUAAGAAGAUAGUGCUAAGAAACUAUAGAUGCUUCAAUAUCGAUUGGUCUUAUUACAUUUUCCGUAGUUUCAGGGUUUUUAUAUCCAAAUUUCCCUACCGACGGAACUGAAAUUGUAGAAUCAUCAUAGAAAUUUAGGAGACAUUUGUUCUUUUAAUAUGCUGAAAUAUUUCAAACUUUCACCAUGUCCAAUUGCCUGGGAAUCUAUAAUAGAGAUCCAAAUAGGUUUCUUAUUCCUUGGAAGUUUGAAUCUACUCUACUAUACUAAUGUACUAACCAUUUUACGGAAAGGUGCAUGGCUGUGUAUAGAUUGCAAGCACAUGGAACAUCGCUUAUAGGUCCACGGAAGAUAGUAAAGUAGCAACAGCAAUUACUGGCGGACCAGUUUAUAUAAGAUUGUUCCUUUGUUUUUUAUGGAACGUGCAACGAUGAGAGAUGGUUUCUACUGCAAUCUGUAUGUUAUUUGGAUUGGAUUUAUCAACAUAUUCAGGAGAUUAGAGGGUACAUAUUAUUUAGGGUAGGGUUCACUGCGGUCUCUUUAUACAUUAUUUAGAUUGGAUCCAUGGAAGCUAUUUCAAUGAAUUUUGUUAUAUGUGAGUUCGCUGUGUUAGAGUCAUGGAAAUCUGAAACCUUAGUGUAUACCAAACUCUUACAUUAUGGCCAAUUGAUCCACUUUAUUUGGAUCCUUGAAAAAAGAAAAUUAACAUGUCUUGGUGCAUAUAUGUGGCGAUCAAUGUUCAUCGUCCUUCUCAAUUUUACCUUAAUUUUGUUGUGUAUCGACAUAUUUCGAUUGGAUCAAUGUUCAUCCCAAUGGUAUGCUCAUGUCUCAAGAUAUCUAAACUUGCUCUAUGAUGCACGAGCAAGUAAGAUCAGAAUUACAAGGAUAGGCUUCCUUGCAUUUUUUUAAGGUUUAGUACAUUUUGCUAGCAUCAGCUGUACAAUUUUGCUCCACUGGUCAUUCCAGAUAUCUUGGUUUCACUUAUAAUGCAUUGCUACAUUGACCUGGAGUGCAUUAAAGAAUUAAUUCAUAUAGUAUACAGAAAUUAACAGAAGAUCCAUCCAGUGAAUAGUGGCUCUAAGGAACAUGUAACUUAGAGGACAUCUACACUUUCAACACUACAUUCUACAAAUGCAAUAUACAAGUAUUAACAACUCGAAUGACUAUUUACUAAAGAAAAAAUAUUAAUGCUCCCUUCAAUUAAUAUUAAUUGUCGCUCAAACGAUUGUAUCUGGCACUGAAAUACGUCUAGAUACAUCAAUUUCAGUGACAAUAUAUAUGGACCAGUAGUAAAGAAAAUAUGCUACACAUUUUUUUUUCACAUAAUGUCUCGGGCUCUCAGCAACAAUUUGCAAAGGCCCUUUACCAGUUCAUCACGGGAACCAAUCCCGUGGGUAGCUCUACCAGAAUGAUGUAGACCAAAAGUGAAUGUACACUGUGUUUAAUCUUAUUAGAAAUGUAUCAGCAUGUGCUUCAUGUUCCCUAAUAUGUAUCACGCCUCGUGAAAAUAAAUGUCUCAUUUUCAAUUACUUCUAAGGAUGACUUCUUUAAUUGUCAUUACAACUUAUUCACACGGUUAUUUAACUUGAAUGUGAAAUUCACUCACACAACAGAAAAAAGGCAUCAUGUAUAAAGUAUAAACACAACGUAUCGACGGGGAAUUUACUUCUUUGUCAUCUUCAACUUUUUUAUAUAUUGUUAUGCCUCUCCUUAAUUGAUAGCGAAUAACUAUUUAUUACUCUUUUGUUUGGAUCAUAGUCUAUGUAGUCUCGACUUAUCGACGAACGCCAAACUAGUUUAGCACACGACAACACCAUCACGAGUGCACGGUGCUCCAAGCCUCCUCCCAUACUUAACUCCAUUGCUCUUUCCCGAUUGUUUUGGCUUGGCCUCGUGCAUGGCACUGAAGAUCUGCUCAGUCGUGCGUUGUGCCAGAACCAGCGGGCAACGGUGGCGAGUCACACUGCCCUGGGCGGGCGACGAUGUGCUGCUGCCGAUGGUAGGCAGGCCGGUCCUAUGUGUGGCUGCACCUGGUCAUGUUCUUGGUAUGGUGCGGGCUAGCAUGGUGUCGGAUGGUACUGUUGGUUGUCUUUCCACUCGUCUUAGCAGGUUGUUGUGGCGCGCUUCCAUAGUAGUACAAAGUUGGGUCACUUAUUUUGAGACGGAGGGAGUAGUUGCCAGUACCUCCGUGUGCAGAUGGCAGCUGUGGAGGUGGCUUCCUCUCUACGCCUUGUCUUGCUGUUAACCCUGGUGGGCGUUGUUCCAUUGGGUUGGCAAGCUCCAUGGAUGUUGUAUCCUCUAAUGCGGGAGUGUCGUGGCCCGAGGUGUGGCUGCUUCUUCCUCUUUAGCAUGUUGCUGCCACUAGUGGUGCCUUGGCUUUGGAUUCUUGGCUAAUGUUGCCUUUCGGCAGUGCUGGUGGACAGUACGGCCUUGGCCAUGAUGUCCCCUUUAGGUGCUCCCAUGGCACUUCACACAACAGUGAGUGCGUGUGUUUAUCACGCAAUUCGGGUGUGCACUCGGCUCCGUGACUAGGGAUGUAAAUGGUACAAAUAAUUUCCGUGCCGAUUUCGCUUCCUCAUCCGUUUUUAAGAAUAUGCACUUACACAAAUUCGGCGGAUAUGGAUGCGGAUACGGAUUUUGGUCAAUCAGAUAUCCGGCGGAUAUGGUAGAGGAUAUGGUGUUGGAAAUAUCCGAGGAUAUGGAUUCUUCGGUAAUUUUUGCGGAUUAUCCGAGGUUGUCAAACAGGAUUAUUCGAUAAAUUUAGCCCAUUUGAGAAGCCCAAAUGCCCACGUGGAUCACUAAAUAAAAUUACCAUGUACAAAUAGAAUUUAACCUAACCUUAGUACGAGAUGACCACAAUCACAAUUCACACGCAGCAAUAACCGUGGUCAUUUUAGUGUCGUCUUGUCUUGCGCCACCAGCAGCGGCUGCAUCUCUCCGGCAAGUCGGUUGUCCGGCACAAUGGGCAAAGAUGCCGGCGCCGGUCCAAGCAACGGAGGUGAGCACUCUGUUUGACCUUCCAUGUUCUUUUAGAUGCAAUGAAUCAUGUAAGUUUGGGGCGUCGAUGGUAGGUAGGUUGUUAUGCAUGAACGCAUCCACGCCAUGCAGAUGCAGCUUGCUCUACCUUCAGAGCAGGUCGUGGUGGUAGUCUGGUAGAUCACCGUGAGCUAAAUCGGUGCUAGUCGCGGCCAUGAUCUAGGGUACACCCAUACAUGACGAGGGGUAAUCCACAUAUAUGCCGGCGAUGUAGAGACGACGGUCUGCGUACAUAUACGCCGGCGGCGCAUUGAGACGGCAUAUACUGCAUACAACGGCGGUGCGACAGGACGGUGGUCUGCGUAUAUACACUAGGAAUACUUGGUAUGAACAAGUAUGAACACUGGUAGUGGUUCCUUCUUCCUUGCAUGCAGUCACGAUGCAUAUGUAACUACUCUAUUUUACUAUGUCUAUACUGGAGAGUAAUAUAUGUGUGGUGUCAUGCAACACUUUAUUUAUUAGUUUGUAGACUCAUCUUGUCUUCAUAUGUAUGAUGUUACUCAAACCAUCCCUCUUCUCAUUAAAUUAUUAUCACAUAAGGAAUUUUGCUAAGUUGGAUCUUAUGUUAGUGCUGAAGUUACUCCCACUAUGGGAAUAGACCACAAAACAGUAUGAAUUCAUGAUGUUUAAUGUCUUACUUGAUGUAGCUUCUACGAUAUAAAUUCCUUUGAUUUGCAAAAAGUUACUAGUUACUUAUAUAUGAUUAUUCUUUCUAUAGAUUGUCUCAACAAGGGCAAGUUCAGGUCAGAGUAUGAUCGUAUCACCCUCCAAUGUUUUUCGCACGUAUCAUCUGAUAUUUUUUGUCCGUUUCCGGUCCAAAUACAUAGUCUGAUAUAAUCCGCAUUCGGUCAUUAUCAGGUCCGCUUCGAGUCCGUAAAAAAUAUAUGGUAAAGGAUAUGGUAAAAGCAUUAUCCAAUCCAGUCCGAUCUGUUCACAUCCCUAUCCGUUGACUCCCUUUAAAUUUGUGAACUACAUCGUUGUUGUGUUGUAACCUCGGCAACAAGUGGCUCUUCAUCUUCAUAGGUGUUGUAGACUCGGUUGAGCUAAUAGCAUUGAGGUGUUAUGGUUUGGUCUCGGCUGAUUGGAGCUCUCCGUUGACGGUGGUGGUGCUUCUCGGGCAAUGUAGGUAUGUUGGUUUUGUCACGGUCUUUUCGGUGGUUGCUAGUGGUUUCAUGUGGUUGGUGCUUUCCGUGCAUUAUGGGCUAUGCGUUGCCUUCUGAUGGUGUCCUUGCAUUGUCUCAGCGGUGCGAUGGUUUCAUGGUUCCCUUCGUGACUUGCUUGUAGGGAUGCUCUCAGUUUCUCGUGUGCAUGUGUUGUGUCGUGUGUGGUUGUAUGCGCAGGUGUUUUUCAGUUGUCUCUUCUACUGUAAUUUUUCAUGUACACUGAUUCAUUUGAACCUAUCUUGUAUGAAGCCGUGAAGUUUCUUGGCAAAAUCGAAUGAGAACAUUCAGAUGGGAAUGGGAUUAGCUCCCCAUGACCAUUUAAAAUAACCAUUGAAAGGGACCACAUGAGCGGUCGCCCCUUCCUCCACUCACGCCAUCACACCCUCCUCGCCGGCAGCCCGUGCUUGCCUAAAGAGAAGCAGCCAGUGGACGCGUAAAGAAGGCUGUGAGGUUUGAAGGCCAGAGUGGGCUCCUCAAGCUGCAAUGCAAGAUCGAUCGACGAAGUUACCUAGUAGGCCGAGCUUCGGUUAGAAUUAAACAUGACUACCCGCGUGUCCAUUCCAUGCAUGUGUACAUGUCGGUUUCAAAAGCAAAUCAUCGAGUAGGACUAGUACUAGUUGGAUAGCUAGUAUAUAUACGUACUUACGUAUCCCCUUGUGAAAACCGUGAGUUGAAGCAACAAAGUAGUCCCUCCGUCCCAGAAUAUAAGACGUUUUUGGAUACUUCAUUAGUACCAAAAAACAUUUUACAUUAUGAGACGAAAGGAGUAAAAAACAGCAGGUACAAGGUAUAUCUGGAGCCCUGUGUUGGUGUGCGUGCGGGCGUUGUGUUCCUACUGGAGGCUGUUGCGCGUGUGUACAUGUGCGUGCUUUAUCAAUUCAACGCAAGAAUCGACCCGUCCUGCCGGGGAAGCUAGUUUAGGCCAAAGUCACCGCCAGAAGUCGUCAGUGUUUGCUUUCGUCGUUGCCGCCAGAAGUACCCAAAAAAGAACAAGUGCCCGGUAUUGCCACUUAACUACGUAGAACUAAAGUUAUUCACGCAUGCCAACUAAUUAAUGGAAUCGUGGUUCUGAUAUACAGUAUACUCCAUGAUUAGAGAGCACCAUACGCUUGGUUGCUAUGUAAUGUAGUCACCUGCCUGUAAUGCUCGAACUGCAUGCGCUUAGUUGAUAAGUUGUUCCUAAGUAGUUCAGUAUCAGGUUGCUUGGUGCUAGCUAAGCUUUUUUAUGCAGGUCCCCGCGCUAUGCCUCUGCGGAUGCACAAAAAAACCAAGCCUCCAGAACAUCAUUUCCUUGGAUCCCAGGUCCAGCAAAGCUAACUCUACCGGCAAAAUGAUACGGCACAAGCUGCUGGGCCAUGGCCAAUGGACUACAAGAUCAAACCAAAUAGAAGAACAGGAACAAGAUUAUCAUGCUUUUGGUUCCCUCUAAUAUUCCAGCGAACUAAAUGGAAAUAUCGAGCACUUCACUAACCAUUAAGUAGUCAUCUCUCCACUAAAGUCUGAAUUGAGAAAAAGGGUUUUCCCCCGCUUUGUAUUACAAAGCAACCAUCCGAUACAACCAACGAUAGGUGCUGGGGCGGAAGCAGCACAAGUACGCCCAAAGAAAAAGAAAAAGAAAAAGAAAAAGAAACAAAUUCCGACAAUGGCAGGUCGACGAAACAAAGAUGACCAGUGACCGCUGCACCCACCGGAGAAGUACCACCGCGCUUCUAGCACUUCGAGGCGUCGCGUACCGAGCAGCACCUUCAGGAAGGAAUGCGACGACGACGCCGCUGCUGCCCGGACAAGUCUAAGGGUUUCCCCCGGUACGUAGAGGGCAGUGGGGAAGGGGCAGAUCAGACGCCCUUCAGGAAGGUCCGGCGGCGCCCGCAGGCGUCACCGCGUCGGUGAUGGAUGCGCCACCAGGGAUUUCUCCGAACCCAAACAAUCAUCACCACCCCGGACGAUCGGAGGUGCUCCACCAGAACAGCCGCCCACCAAAUUGUGCCACCACAGUCACUGAACCAUCAACACUGUCUCGCUGAGCCACCGACACGAGACCUGGAGGAGGGACGAGGGGCCAAUGGGCUCGGGGGCAGCCGAAACUCAGCCGAUGGGAGGGGACUACCACCACCGCCGAUGCGGAGCCGACCGGACGUGACAACAAGAGCUUACCACGCCCGCACAUGCCCGGCCAGACCCCAAAUGAUCCGGACAACCUCUGCCGCCACGCUACAACACAUCGGCCGACGAAGCCGCCGCCACCCGCAUCCCUCGACGCCGCGCCACCGUUAAAGUUGCAUGCAGAUAUCACUGGGUCUUGUGUAUCAUUAAAGUUGACGCCGGAACAGUUGAAAUACUGGACUCACUACUCAAAGAAAAAACUGACUAUAACAUAUUGUUUGGGAUAGUCAACAGGUAAUUUCAAUCAUUAUUAACUAUAUAUCUCGGCCUAUUUAGUUCGUCAUUUCAAGAUAUGAACUAUUUAGUAACCCCUUUAUUCAUUUUCUUUUUCGGCGGGUAGAGCUUGGGCAAGGUUCAUCAGGGUCACGGACGGCGAAUGGAAAGAAAAGCUUAAAUGGGGAAGACCCAAGGUAAGUAAUUAAGUAGUACUAGCUAGCUAGCUAGCUGCCAUCUCUUUAAUUAUCAUGCUUGAUUAAUUAUUAUCUGAUCAAAUUCCAUUCCCGUAAAGGCCCUAAAGCAGGUGCAGGGGACUGAUCUGUGUGCAUUCUGCGUUUGCGAGAACAUUCGCAUGAUGGCGUCCGAAAGGAGCAGAUCUCAAAGACAAGAAUGGGUACGCUUGUCAAAACACUAUUCACAAUUUUUACACCAUUAUCGAUAUCUAGUCACACAACUAAUACACAUGCAUAUUGAUCUCCUUCUUAACAGUUCAGAGAGGUGCGGGCGAAGCUCCUAGAAACGGAGCGCGUAGAAGCACUUCAAGAGGAAAUAGCGGGAUUUUUGCUCGACCAGGUCAUAAAUCCGAAGGGAGAAUACUAUUACCCGCUACCGCCCCCAUGAAAACCACUUCCAAUUGUCAUCGUGCUCCGAAGGCACCAAUUAGGCUAUAAUGCCACUGGCUCCGAAGGCGACAUGCAUAUGUAGGAGAAAUUGUAUAUAGCUAUACAUGUGUGUAUGUGUGAAUUAAUUAAUAUGAUGAUUUGUGAGACAUUGAUGAUAUAUAUAUGCAUGAUUGGUUCUA
This 15585-nucleotide long non-coding RNA is filed under the name Triticum aestivum (bread wheat). RNAcentral describes it as "long non-coding RNA (TAES_LNC011142)". Lineage: Eukaryota; Viridiplantae; Streptophyta; Magnoliopsida; Poales; Poaceae. The record is from RNAcentral.